RNAcentral lists this unclassified non-coding RNA (487 nucleotides) under Athalia rosae (coleseed sawfly). RNAcentral describes it as "misc RNA ENSAEAG00005003701.1". The record is from RNAcentral. Lineage: Eukaryota; Metazoa; Arthropoda; Insecta; Hymenoptera; Athaliidae.
GUCAAAUGUACCUUCUCUACGUGUUCAGUCGCAUGCCAAAUUUCACCAAAAUAUCGUUCGUCGUUACGUGAAUCUGAGCCGAAAGGAAAUCAUCGUUAUAUCGUGAUGAUCACCUACAAUGAUCGGAGUGACAGAAAGUGAAUAAAACUAUCAAAUCAGACGAGAUCUCACGAUCUAAUUGAGUCGUCAAGUGAUACCACAUGAUUAAUAAAUUACACUAGUUAUUCGGAAGGCCAAGCAAAUCGUGGGGCAAUUAAUUCGUUCUGUUAUGUGUCCUUCCCAUGACGUAUAUUCAUCCAAAAACAUGGGAUCGGAACAAGGCCAGGAACUUGAGCAGAAAUAUGGCGAUAAUUUCAGGUGCGUGCAACACAUAUUUAAUUAAUUCGCAUGCCUCUUCAUCUUCGGAGCAGAUCAGCGAUCACGUAAUGCUCUGUUCAUGUUUGCCAGACUCAUUAGAUUUGAAUUUUGUUGCUGAUGUCAUGUUUAC